This 71-nucleotide transfer RNA is filed under the name Hordeum vulgare. RNAcentral describes it as "tRNA-OTHER". Lineage: Eukaryota; Viridiplantae; Streptophyta; Magnoliopsida; Poales; Poaceae. The record is from RNAcentral.
GCAGCGUAGCGUAGUGGUUGGUGUGUGGGGAUGUUCCCGCGAGGUCCUGGGAUCAAAUCCCAGGGUAUGCA